UACGUAGGGUGCGAGCGUUGUCCGGAAUUACUGGGCGUAAAGAGCUCGUAGGUGGUUUGUCGCGUUGUUCGUGAAAACUCACAGCUCAACUGUGGGCGUGCGGGCGAUACGGGCAGGCUGGAGUACUGCAGGGGAGACUGGAAUUCCUGGUGUAGCGGUGGAAUGCGCAGAUAUCAGGAGGAACACCGGUGGCGAAGGCGGGUCUCUGGGCAGUAACUGACGCUGAGGAGCGAAAGCGUGGGGAGCGAACAGG
Molecule: ribosomal RNA, 253 nt
Filed under: uncultured bacterium
Lineage: Bacteria
Description: partial 16S ribosomal RNA
Rfam family: Bacterial small subunit ribosomal RNA
Source: RNAcentral